RNAcentral lists this ribosomal RNA (34 nucleotides) under Laccaria sp. H54. Its description in RNAcentral is "partial 28S ribosomal RNA". Lineage: Eukaryota; Fungi; Basidiomycota; Agaricomycetes; Agaricales; Hydnangiaceae. The record is from RNAcentral.
UUGACCUCAAAUCAGGUAGGUACUACCCGCUGAC